RNAcentral lists this small RNA (26 nucleotides) under Bombyx mori (domestic silkworm). RNAcentral's name for it is "ovarian small RNA-24235". Lineage: Eukaryota; Metazoa; Arthropoda; Insecta; Lepidoptera; Bombycidae. The record is from RNAcentral.
UAUUGCUAAUUUGGUAGGGUCCGUCA